ACUCAAAUGAAUAGACGGGGGCCCGCACAAGCGGUGGAGCAUGUGGUUUAAUUCGACGCAACGCGCAGAACCUUACCAGCCCUUGACAUGGUGGUUAAAGCCGGUGAGAGCCGGUGUCCCGCAAGGGGACCAUUACAGGUGCUGCAUGGCUGUCGUCAGCUCGUGUCGUGAGAUGUUGGGUUAAGUCCCGCAACGAGCGCAACCCUUAUCUCUAGUUGCCAUCAGGUUGGGCUGGGCACUCUAGAGAGACUGCCGGUGACAAGCCGGAGGAAGGUGGGGAUGACGUCAAGUCCUCAUGGCCCUUACGGGCUGGGCUACACACGUGCUACAAUGGCGGUGACAGUGGGCAGCAAAGGGGCGACCCCUAGCUAAUCUCCAAAAGCCGCCUCAGUUCGGAUUGCAGGCUGCAACUCGCCUGCAUGAAGGUGGAAUCGCUAGUAAUCGCGGAUCAGCACGCCGCGGUGAAUACGUUCCCGGGCCUUGUACACACCGCCCGU
RNAcentral lists this ribosomal RNA (497 nucleotides) under uncultured bacterium. RNAcentral describes it as "partial 16S ribosomal RNA". It matches the Rfam family "Bacterial small subunit ribosomal RNA", at positions 899 to 1397 of the family's 1533-position model. The record is from RNAcentral.